Molecule: ribosomal RNA, 340 nt
Filed under: uncultured bacterium
Lineage: Bacteria
Description: bacterial SSU rRNA
Rfam family: Bacterial small subunit ribosomal RNA
Source: RNAcentral
AUUGAACGCUGGCGGCGUGCCUAACACAUGCAAGUCGAGCGGUAACAGGUGUAGCAAUACAUGCUGACGAGCGGCGAACGGGUGAGUAAUGCUUCGGAAUCUGCCCAUGUAGUGGGGAAUAACCAGCCGAAAGGUUGGCUAAUACCGCAUACGACCCUUGCCCACAAGGCAAAGGUGAAAGCAGGGGAUCGCAAGACCUUGCGCUAUUGGAUGAGCCGAAGUCGGAUUAGCUAGUUGGUAGGGUAACGGCCUACCAAGGCGACGAUCCGUAGCUGGUCUGAGAGGACGACCAGCCACACUGGGACUGAGACACGGCCCAGACUCCUACGGGAGCAGCAGU